UACCACCCUUUGUUUAUUACACUUUGUUGCUUUGGCAAGCCUGCCCUCGGGCUGCUGGCUCCGGCCGGCGAGCGCUUGCCAGAGGACCUAAACUCUGUUUGUCUAUACUGUCUGAGUACUAUAUAAUAGUUAAAACUUUCAACAACGGAUCUCUUGGUUCUGGCAUCGAUGAAGAACGCAGCGAAAUGCGAUAAGUAAUGUGAAUUGCAGAAUUCAGUGAAUCAUCGAAUCUUUGAACGCACAUUGCGCCCCCUGGUAUUCCGGGGGGCAUGCCUGUCCGAGCGUCAUUACAACCCUCAAGCUCAGCUUGGUGUUGGGCCCCGCCGCCCCGGCGGGCCCUAAAGUCAGUGGCGGUGCCGUCCGGCUCCGAGCGUAGUAAUUCUUCUCGCUCUGGAGGUCCGGUCGUGUGCUCGCCAGCAACCCCCAAUUUUUUUCAGGUUGACCUCGGAUCAGGUAGGGAUACCCGCUGAACUUAAGCAUAUCAAUAA
Molecule: ribosomal RNA, 488 nt
Filed under: Geomyces sp. 1 CL-2016
Lineage: Eukaryota; Fungi; Ascomycota; Leotiomycetes; Thelebolales; Pseudeurotiaceae
Also listed under: 6 other names
Description: eukaryotic LSU rRNA
Rfam family: 5.8S ribosomal RNA (bases 134-287)
Source: RNAcentral